Molecule: ribosomal RNA, 253 nt
Filed under: uncultured bacterium
Lineage: Bacteria
Description: partial 16S ribosomal RNA
Rfam family: Bacterial small subunit ribosomal RNA
Source: RNAcentral
UACGUAGGGAGCAAGCGUUGUCCGGAAUUAUUGGGCGUAAAGAGCUCGUAGGCGGUUUGUCGCGUCUGCUGUGAAAACUCGGGGCUUAACUCCGGGCCUGCAGUGGGUACGGGCAGACUAGAGUGCGGUAGGGGAGACUGGAAUUCCUGGUGUAGCGGUGAAAUGCGCAGAUAUCAGGAGGAACACCGAUGGCGAAGGCAGCUCUCUGGGUCGGCCCUGACGCUGAGGCGCGAAAGCGUGGGGAGCGAACGGG